This 498-nucleotide ribosomal RNA is filed under the name uncultured bacterium. Its description in RNAcentral is "partial 16S ribosomal RNA". It matches the Rfam family "Bacterial small subunit ribosomal RNA", at positions 28 to 523 of the family's 1533-position model. The record is from RNAcentral.
GAUGAACGCUAGCGGCAGGCCUAAUACAUGCAAGUCGAACGGGAUUCAGAAGCUUGCUUCUGAUGAGAGUGGCGCACGGGUGCGUAACACGUAUGCAACCUACCUCUAAGAGGGGGAUAGCCUGCCGAAAGGGAGAGUAAUACGGCAUAAAAGUAUAGAACGGCAUCGUUUAGUAGUUAAAGUAACAACGGGUAGAGAUGGGCAUGCGCAACAUUAGCUAGUUGGUAAGGUAACGGCUGACCAAGGCUAUGAUGUUUAGGGGAGCUGAGAGGGUUGUCCCCCACACUGGUACUGAGACAGGGACCAGACUCCUACGGGAGGCAGCAGUAAGGAAUAUUGGUCAAUGGACGAAAGUCUGAACCAGCCAUGCCGCGUGUAGGAAGACGGCCUUAUGGGUUGUAAACUGCUUUUAUCAGGGAAUAAAGUGCGUUACGUGUAAUGUAUUGAAUGUACCUGAGGAAUAAGGAUCGGCUAACUCCGUGCCAGCCGCCGCGGUAA